CUUCGCCCACCUUCACUUAAGGAACCGCGGGGAAGGACCUACGUGAGACCUGUGCGGCGGGGUCGGGGCUCAUGGCCGCGUCCAGGACGCUCGGCACUUUCCGUCUCCCGCCGUUACCCACGAUUCGAGAAAUCAUUAAGUUGUUUAGACUGCAAGCCGUGAAGCAGCUAUCCCAGAAUUUUCUCUUGGACUUGAGGCUGACAGAUAAAAUUGUAAGGAAAGCUGGCAGUCUGACAAAUGCUUAUGUUUAUGAAGUGGGCCCUGGGCCUGGGGGAAUCACAAGAUCCAUUCUCAAUGCCGGUGUUGCUGAACUUCUGGUGGUUGAAAAGGAUGGUCGAUUUAUUCCUGGAUUACAGAUGCUUUCUGAUGCAGCACCUGGAAAACUGAGAAUUGUCCAUGGAGAUGUCUUGACAUUUAAGAUAGAAAAGGCUUUUCCAGAAAGUCUCAAAAGACAGUGGGAGGAUGAUCCUCCAAAUGUACAUAUUAUUGGAAAUCUGCCUUUUAGUGUAUCAACUCCACUGAUUAUCAAAUGGCUUGAAAACGUUUCUCAUAGAAAUGGACCUUUUGCUUACGGCAGAACCCAGAUGACUUUGACUUUUCAAAAGGAAGUGGCAGAGAGACUUACAGCCAGUACAGGAAGCAAGCAGCGUAGUCGCCUCUCCAUCAUGGCCCAGUACCUCUGCGACGUUCAGCACCUCUUGACAAUUCCAGGUCAGGCUUUCAUCCCCAAACCGGAGGUGGACUCGGGGGUGGUGCAUUUCACUCCCCUGACCCAGCCGAGGAUAGAGCAGCCAUUCAAGCUGGUGGAGAGAGUCGUUCAGAAUGCCUUUCAGUUCCGAAGGAAAUACUGCCAUCGAGGGCUUGGAAUGUUAUUCCCUGAAGCCCAGCGAUUAGAAAGCACUGGGAAACUGUUACAGUUGGCCGAUGUGGACCCUACUCUUCGACCCACCCAGCUCUCUGUCUUACAUUUUAAGAGCCUCUGUGACGCAUACCGAAAAAUGUGUGAUGAAGACCCACACCUCUUUGCUUACAAUUUCAGAGAAGAACUCAAGCAAAAGGGGAUGGCAAGGAGAGUUACAGACUGUAGCUGCUACGUCAGGGGCUGGCAGCCGACUGGAUGUUGAUGUUCACAGAGUUGAACUUCUCCUAUGUGUGCUCCCCAGGUGUGACUUAUUCCCCUUUUACAGCUUGGUAAAGAGAAUAAAUAUCGUCAAGUAAGUUUAAAAGUGAAACCAGCAACUUAACCCAUAUCUGGAUUGACCUGUAUUAUGCCUUUCCAUGGCUCUCUGUUUCAUAAAAACACUCCUCGUUGACAACCGACGUUAAGCUCUGGACGCUGAAUUCUCGCUCGAGAACGGAGCUGAGAUCAAGGUUGGCAUUUUCCGAUUGACUGUCCAGGGACUGGUGACGCAUCUGCGCCUUCAGCAGAGUUCCCCUGUCCCUCUUGGUGCUGUUGGCUUUGCGUUUGAUGGCGCAGAAGUGCCCCCGGACCAGCUUGGGCUGCCCGUCCUUGCCGGGCGGCUGCUGAGCUGGCCGGGCGUCCGGGUCCUCCGAGAUCCUCAGUCUCUGGAACUGGAUCUCGAUGUCUGUGGUAGGGCUGCCCUGCUUCCCAGCCUGGUGGUCGUCCUCGUCGUCGUCGCUCAGAAUGUCGCUCUCUUUGAUGAGACUGUCGGAGAAGUCGGCCAGGCCCUCGUGGGGGUGUUUCUGGGCGUCCUGUCUGCUCCCGGCCGGGGGGCAGCCGCUGCUCUGGGUGCCACUGCUCAGGCUGCCCUCAUCCGAGUCCAGCGAGCUGCCCUUGCCCGGCUCCCCGGGCCACUCGCUGCUGGAGGAAUUCUUAAGGACUUUUAAGGACCUGGAUGAAGCUGCAGUGAGAAAAGCACAUUUUCCCUUAUGGUAGAGGAACCGAUUCCACAGUGUGUUCAUUUGUUCAUUUCUGCCUUGUGGGUUAUCAGAUUUAACAUCUUAAUUAAAAUUUCAUCACCUCACUUCACUCCUGGGACUAAAAAAAAUGUAGAUACUGCAAAUACGGACAUUUUUUAUUUAUGUUUAUUUGAAAUUUUAAGUUGGAAUUUGGCAUUUUUUAGAGGACCAAUUACCAGAGCUUAUUACUGAGAACAAUACGCUAUAAACUAUCAUAAGGGCUAGGCUUCUUAUUACCAAUGAAUAAAUUUAAAAGUUAGUUUUACAGCUAAUUAAUGAAUAAAUUAGCUCUUGCUAAUGAAUAAAUUUAAAAGUUAGUUGCUAAUAAAAUCUAGGUUCCUUUCUUUCACUAAAGUACUUUGUAGUUUGAGAACUAAGAUUACACCACCGUAUUUCUCUGCCCACCUUCUCACCGGUUCAUUUCCCUUGCUGCUCAAUUAAAAGUACAAAAAUGCUUUUUCUCUCUCAUGAGAACUGUCUCUGCCGGAAUUUCUAGCCAACUUUGAGAUUUAACAUGAAUAUUGAAUCGUGUGCGUGUGUGUGUGUACGUAUAAUUCCUUUCUCUUGGGUAGAAGGGAAAGGGGGAGCUCAGUUGUGUUUCUGCAGACAACAGUGUAUUUUUAAUGGCUGUAGCUUAUUUUGCCAGUAGAGGAAAAUUUGAGGAGGUCAAACUGUGACCAAAAAGAAGAGAUACACUUUGUAAGACUAAAAACUAGAUCAGUGAUAUUAACAAAAUAGUUAACAUAGAAAGAAGGUUCUAAAAAUUUAAGCUGACAUUUUAAAAACGGGCAGAAAGUUGAAGAACAGCAUGAUUUGGAAUGUUCACCUGUGGGCUUAUUAAGAAUGAGUAUUGGCGAGCAGUAGGUUUCUUGACCUUAAUUCACUGAGUGUUGACCUUCUAGAGGCCUUGCACUGUUCUGAGCACCGGGAAUGCGGCAAUGAGCACAACAGUCCCUUGACUCCUGUACAUCUCAGUGGAAGAAAGACAGAAGACGGUAAGUGCACACUAUGUCAGGAUUUGGAUUGGGGGUGCUUAUGUUUUAUAAAAGGAGGUCUGGGACCGAGCAUGUUUAGGCUUCUUAAAAGGAAAUAAAAUUGCUGCUACAUUCUCAUGUCACCCUGUGUAUCGGGUGUGUGGUGUAGAGCUUACGAAGCUACUGCUGAUGAGUUACAAAGCGAUGACCUGCUGCUCUCUCCUGAAAGCAUACAUCCUUGCAGAGGAGCUCGUCAUGUUUUCCUGAAUAAACCCAAGGCUAGCAGAGUUCUUACCUAAUUUGGCUGAGACAGGAACGCGGUUCUUGAGGGGUACCAGGCGAUCUUUACAUGUUUUCUCCAGAGGUAAUUCACACUUUAUGUGACGCCUGAAGUUCUCCCUCAGAAUAGAUCGAAUCACCUUGACAAUGUUGGUUUUGCUUUCGUUGUCACUGGCGGGGAAAGAGAAGACAUGUUGUAGUGUCUGCUGUCUCGUCCUGCUUCCAUUCCACGCCUCCUGGCCCUCCCGUGGCACGUGACUGCUCUCAGCACAGACUGACAGCGAGUCACCCAGCCUCUGUGUGCCUCGGUCUCUCGUCAUUUACAAAAGGAGCGAGAAUUGAUCGCUUUUGAACUUCCUUCAAGCACUAAAAUUUGGAUGUACAUUUAAUCAAUGUAUAUUCUCCUGGAGCCGCAGUUGCCAGUUUGGAGAGGGUGGGUGUGAUCCUGAAGUCAUCAACAUUCAGGAGGGCACUAAAAAUAAACCCACUUUUAAGAGAACAUAAUUCUGUCUUAGGCCCAUUGGCUUUAAUUUCUGGAAGUCAGUAAUACCUGCAGCACAACUGAAAGAUGGUUUCUGGCCGUCCUUCUAUUUCUGACUUGGUGUGGAUCAGCUCCCAUAAGGAAUUAUUUUCUGUCCCUGUGUAAAAAGAAACAAGGGGCCGCAAAUUUGCCAAAGAUGCUGUGGUAAAGGACACUUGUGAAGCUUAAAAACCACAAUUUUAGUAACUUUUUAAAGAGUUAAAUAUUCCCCAUCCUGACUCUCAUCAUUUUCUGGUGUGGCUCCUCCUAUGUAUGACUUUCACAAAUAGUUACAAGAAGUUAAAUACGUUGUAGUUACUUUGUACACUUCCUGCUAAGGUUUCCCAUCCGUCUUGGUGCUUUCGCCCUACCCUGGAUUCCAUCUCUGGGAAAGAGGUUAAAUGGAUCCCAUUUUUCAACCCCGUUCCUUAGAAGGAACGGUAGGAUGUGCUCAGGCUCUUGAGGUAAAGGAGGCCAGCCCCAAACUCAGUCAUGGUCCAGGAAACAUGAGCACUUCCAAUGAAAACUGAACAGGGGCCCAGCCGUCACUGCGGGCCUCAGCCUGUUGGUCCUUUGCUUAACCAGAGGUACUGUCACCAGGACAGGGUUAUUCUGAAAGGAUCUCUGAACAUUUUCCACAGUGGAAAUUUUUUUUUUAUAUCACCUGUAAUAAAGCUUAAUCUUAAGAAAUUUUCUGGUGUAUCAAAAUUUGUAAAAAUUUAAAUUUGUGGACCUUUGUUUCUUUAACAAAUUUUAGAGAUAGAUAUUAUCCCUAAAGUUAUUAGAAAAAUGUUGAAAACCAUCGACAGUGAAAAUAAGGAAGCAAUAAAGAGAGGUAUUUGGCAAAGAAAAGCCAUCCACUGGCAUUUACUUUCUCCAAUCUCUCUUGUCCUCAUUUUCCUUGCCUAUAAGAUAAAAUACCAAAAAUUAUUCCCAGGUUCUUUGCUACUUUUUCAUUCCACAGUUUAAAAAUUCCCUUAAAAUGUUUUUUCUGGCAUUUGUACGACACACAACAAUUACCUGCUGUAUUCCCCAGUCUGACUUGAAGCGCGGAUAUGGGGAUCAACCAGCGAAACUUAAACGGAUCCAGGUCAGCAGAGUUGUGUGCCGGCCGGGAGUUCGACGGCUGCAGCGUGAGAGCCCACCAAGAACAGUGUUAAAGCAAGCUCGCUCCCGCGGGCAUGUGCGCGCACAACAGAAGCUGUGAGCUCACCCUGGUGCAGACCUGCCACCGUGUGGGGCUCAGGAUGCAAAAGGGAAUCAGGUCAGGUACCGUAACUGGACCUCCUAGCUUUGACACGUGGAGAACACAUCACUCUUUCUCUGCGAUCCAAACAGCAGCUCUUUAACAGAUACUCUGUUUACUAUCAAAGUGAGGGGCUUUGUGUAUCUGACAAAUCUGUAUCUUAGGCCAAUAAUUUCUGAGGUUACAAAAGAAGACACCUCCGCGUCAGCCGUAAAAAGCUUCACGGGUCCUCGGGUGUUGGUUUCAGAGUCAGGCUCCGCUCAGAGCCGUCCACAGGGUGGAGCCUCACACAACAUGUUUGAUCAGCCGCACUUGGGCAGCAAACCACACACAAUUUCAAAGUUGUAGGAAAACAGGCCGGGGUUUCGGUCCUGGCAGCACUCUUUGUUUGUUAACCACGUAACCUGAAGUAGUUUAUUUCAACUCACUGAGCUUCAAUUAUCUUCUCUGAAAAAUAGAAAUGGAAACACCCUUCCAGAGGCUAUUCCAGUGAGAUAAUUUUUGCCAAAAUAUUUUGCCCACCUUACAGAGAUGGCCAUACUACCUAGCUAUUUUCACGUACUAAAAUGGUACCUAAGGUUAACAAUCACAGUACUGACAAAUGUUCCAGAAUGUGAAAGCAAGCAGGGAAGAGGGGAGCUCGUGGGCCUGGGGGGCGGCAGCCGUCACAUCGCGGCCUGGGCCCCUCGCUUCUUACCUGUCAGGUGGUAAUGCUCUUCGCUCUCGUGGUCUGUCAGGGACACGAGCUCCUUGAGCAGCAGUGGGUACUUGAGCACCCUCUGAACGGGCUUGAUGAGGUAAGACUCCAGAGUGGAGGAGUGCUGCUUGGUGGGGUUCCGGGCGUCCAGAAAAGCCUUGAAGGCUUUAUCAGUUUUAGCUACAAGCAGAUGCAUUAAAAGACCCUUAGAAGAGCACAGGAGGAUGAAUUAAAUUCUGCUUCAUUUAGGUUUUAAUGGAAUUACAGAUGAUCCACUUCUACAGUCCUCCUAAUGACAUCCUUCAAGAAAAACCCAGAUGCACCCGUGGGUCACUGCCCGGCUGUCAGGGUGGAUUCAGCACCGCCGCUCUGUGAUGAAUCCCAUGAGAGCUUAAGGGGGCUUACGAGGCUGCCAGAAGAGUCCCAGCCACACACCAAAGAGGGACAUCGAGUCAAAAUGCAGGAGUGUCUGCCUUUAAAGGCACAUUCACAUGCAUACCCAUGAGAGAGACUGGUAUAGGUGCCGGAAAAGUGCGUUUCAAACGAUUCAUAAAGCCACAAAACAGUGUAUCCAAACCCUAUGCCAUACCCCCCAAAAGGUUCACAGAACAAAACAAACCAGUAUUUUUUUCCACGGACCUAUAGCGCAAAUUGUUUCUUAUUCUAUACACUUGAGGGCUAUCUGCAAAGCAAGCUUUUUUUUCCUUUAAAAAUAAGUUGAUAAGCACUGCAGCCUCCAUCUCUACAGUUCCAAGCAAUCUAAACCUUCCACCAGAUUCAGACCCCUCUGGGCAGUGAAAACCACCUCUCUGUUCCGUGUCACGAAGGUACACACACGAACCCAAGUGCUUUCAGUUAUGAGGGUGCCAGUGGACACCCCAGCCGUUGCUUUGGAUUCCACCUGCUGGCACUGGUUGACCAGCUGUUGGAAUUCAGCCCAUUUGGAUGAAAACAAAUCUUUAUUUGGGGUUUUGUACAAAGGUAAAAUGGAACUUGUAGGAGAUGCAGUACCAUUCUGAACGUGGCUACUACACAAAGUGGAUGGGGAGAUGAUCCUUCAUCUUCGUGGCAAAGAAGGAACUGAGCAAACCAUUGGUAUGCUUUUAAUUUACUACACUGUCGAUAAGAAGGUGUUCAUGGGAGGAAACUAGUUCUUUCUGGUUUAAAGAACUAGAGGAGACAGAUUGGGCUCUGUCUUGUUGGCCUGAAGCACUCCAAGACUUCCCUUUUUCAACCUGAGCCUGUUCUAGGAUUUAAACCAAAUGGCAGAACUGCAUCAGUGGACCUGGCUAAACACUGUCGGUGUCUGGAUGAAGCCUACGCUCCCUCCACGACAGUACAGAGAGGCCAUUCCCCACUUCUGAAAAAGAAACACGGAAGAGCAAACUCCGGAUUCUUUAUGGCAAUGCCAUCAAGGAGCGUUUGAUGACAGACAGAAAGGGCUUGGAACGUAGCUUGGCUCCUACUUCCCUGCUGACACAACUAAAAAAGUUCCAAUGCAGAAUCCCCUCCAGCACUCGCCGUCGUCACACAAGACAGCCCUGGUUCACUGGGCAAAUCAUAACGGGAGUGAACUACACGAGGCCAACCCUAACUGUGAAGAAGGCAUUCAAGUCCUGGGGAAGUCACUUUUUAUCCUGGGAAUUUGUAACAGUUUAAGCUUCAGUAGGUUCAGAUCCUACUUCCAGGUACACUUGAGAAAACGCAGGUAGCCUGGCGAGCUUCCCUGGAGACGGUUCAGGUGACCUUGAAUAGGAUUACAUAUAUUUUCAUAAGACGCCUUCCACUGUAGGGCCCAUGCAGAACAGGAGCAACCCCUGGGGACCUGUAUUUGUUUGAUGUUCUCCGUGCAGGUUGAAUUACUGCUGCUCAUGACCUUGAGCUUAAAGGCCUCCUCUCAUCUCUGCCCCAGAAAUGAGAAUUCCAGAGAAUGGGAUAGAAAAAUAUCUUCUGAAAGAGACAAAUCCGAGAAUUCUAAUCUCAUACCUAAAGAGGUGUGUGAUGACUGAAAAAAGCCUUUGGUAAUAACAAAACCUCAGUUGAGCAUUGCUAGUUUAGGGUGUGGUAAAGGAAAUGUUCACAUAUUGAGGUCUGGGGAAGUCAUUCUGGCCUAUACACGAGUUAACUUUAAUGUAAAAAACAGCCUGUUUGUGGCCUUUCAAACAUACACUGUACAUCUGCUUUAAUUAUUAAAGAAAAGGGUGCAUUGACCAGAAGUAAAGAAUGUCCAUGUUAAAAUUAAAGAUGAAAUGCCUCCCUUCCUGGGACGCCAAUGCUGGUCCUCCUUCCAUGAUAAGACUUCCUUCCCAGGUGCCAAGGCCAUACUGACUGGCUGUGUACGUGCUGAUCUGGUUUUCCGGAAAUCUGGAAGGAAUGUAUCCCUGACUUGUUUGAUGUUCUUUGUUCUGACAAGACAUGAAACUGUGCUGACAGCCCUGCUUCUCCAGAGCAGAUCCUCAGAGGAAUCAGAGAAGCUGUCUUCUGGGCAGUACUCCUCAGUCUGGCUCAAAUAAAACUCUUUUCUAUUCCUAUUAUAGACUGUUUAUUGAUUAUUUUUGUCAACAGGUUAUUACAGGAAUAGCUUAAACAC
Molecule: RNA transcript, 8226 nt
Organism: Globicephala melas (long-finned pilot whale)
Lineage: Eukaryota; Metazoa; Chordata; Mammalia; Artiodactyla; Delphinidae
Gene: TFB1M
Gene name: transcription factor B1, mitochondrial
Source: RefSeq, a predicted model, not a curated record